CGUGAAGGACGACCUUCCUUUCCUCCCAUCAUAUCGCCGGGACGACCCGG
Aurantimonas manganoxydans SI85-9A1 is the source of this 50-nucleotide regulatory RNA element. It matches the Rfam family "Guanidine-II riboswitch aptamer (mini-ykkC)". From Rfam's summary of the family: Simpler in structure and has fewer highly conserved nucleotide positions than the ykkC-yxkD leader. Despite this each of its two stem-loop structures directly bind free guanidine. Therefore, mini-ykkC RNA motif represents a distinct class of guanidine-sensing RNAs. NCBI's taxonomy places the organism in Bacteria, Pseudomonadati, Pseudomonadota, Alphaproteobacteria, Hyphomicrobiales, Aurantimonadaceae. The record is from Rfam.